Molecule: transfer RNA, 72 nt
Filed under: Ovis aries (sheep)
Lineage: Eukaryota; Metazoa; Chordata; Mammalia; Artiodactyla; Bovidae
Rfam family: tRNA
About the family: Transfer RNA (tRNA) molecules are approximately 80 nucleotides in length.
Source: Rfam by way of RNAcentral
UCCCCGGUGGCUCAGAUGGUAAAGCGUCUGCCUACAAUGUGGGAGACCCAGGUUCGAUCCCUGGGUUGGGAA